AUUGAACGCUGGCGGAAUGCUUUACACAUGCAAGUCGAACGGUAGAGGGGGCAACCCCUCGAGAGUGGCGAACGGGUGAGUAAUAUAUCGGAACGUGCCCAGUCGUGGGGGAUAGCGUAGCGAAAGUUACGCUAAUACCGCAUACGAUCUAAGGAUGAAAGCGGGGGAUCGCAAGACCUCGCGCGAUUGGAGCGGCCGAUAUCAGAUUAGGUAGUUGGUGGGGUAAAGGCUCAACAAGCCAACGAUCUGUAGCUGGUCUGAUAGGACGACCAGCCACACUGGAACUGAGACACGGUCCAGACUCCUACGGGAGGCAGCAGUGGGGAAUUUUGGACAAUGGACGCAAGUCUGAUCCAGCCAUUCCGCGUGCAGGAUGAAGGCCCUCGGGUUGUAAACUGCUUUUGUACGGAACGAAAAGGUCUCUCUUAAUACGGGGGACUCAUGACGGUACCGUAAGAAUAAGCACCGGCUAACUACGUGCCAGCAGCCGCCGUAA
Molecule: ribosomal RNA, 496 nt
Filed under: uncultured bacterium
Lineage: Bacteria
Description: partial 16S ribosomal RNA
Rfam family: Bacterial small subunit ribosomal RNA
Source: RNAcentral